UGACAUUCUAGCUUGGCAAGAGGAAAGUUACUAGCCUAAAACUUUGGAUGAACUGGAGAUUGCCACCUGUGAUGAAAGACACUAGGAAUAUUCACUUGGUUAGAAGAAAUUUGACCACAACAUUUUUUAGAAAAUUGCCUCUUAUCAUCAAAUCGAUGACAAUUUACCCCCUUUGGUCCAAGUCAAAAACACCUGAGAAGGUUUCAACAAACCUAUGGUAACACUUUUGCACAACAUGGCCAAUCC
RNAcentral lists this long non-coding RNA (246 nucleotides) under Gossypium barbadense (sea-island cotton). RNAcentral's name for it is "long non-coding RNA (GBAR_LNC013466)". The record is from RNAcentral. Lineage: Eukaryota; Viridiplantae; Streptophyta; Magnoliopsida; Malvales; Malvaceae.